GCGUCUUGAGAAGACGUUGAUGGUGAGCGUAAGUGGAGGACUCUGCUUGCAAGCAAGACACGUGUCCCAUGGAAGGAAGAGCUUAUCUUCAUGCCUAAAAAGGGAGAGUUUGUCCCUCCUGUAAUGAUCGGAUUUAGCCAUGAUUCUGCUCUUGAAUUGGGUUAUUGCUCUUACGACUUGAAAGUUGCUGCCUGCCUAUGGGUCUUCUAGGAACGGGCUACGGUGGUUCUGGGGUGAGGUUUUCGAGUCCCGGGCACGGUUUUG
Molecule: long non-coding RNA, 264 nt
Filed under: Populus tremula
Lineage: Eukaryota; Viridiplantae; Streptophyta; Magnoliopsida; Malpighiales; Salicaceae
Description: long non-coding RNA (PTRE_LNC000025)
Source: RNAcentral